CCAAAGUGAAGAGAAGCUAGGAGCGCACACACGGACAGCACCGAGUCCCUAGCCCGGAACAACAGCCUCCAGGGCUGCUCCCCACUAAUGCCCUAACAACCCGGAGGACUCCCCGCUGGAGAUGAGCUCGCCCCUUCUGCCCCAAGACGAGCUUCUGGAAACCAAGUAGACUUUCCCUUCCUCCAGGAGCUCAAGAAAAGCAGCCCCGCCAAGCAAACGCAACGCGUGCACACGUCCACAAGCCAACAGCACAUGCAGGAGACCAGAUGGGUGUGGAUUCCAGGCGCACACGGCGCAACGCAAGCAUAACAUGCACAGGAUGCACACGCGCGUGCCCAGACCCCGACCCCCACCCCUCCCUGCGCAACCCCGGCGCCCAAGCCCACCGCACACGAACCUCACCAGACAGCCGGGUAACUUUCCAGAGUGCAAACAGGCGCAUGUACCCUGGAUAUGCUUCCCUCUGUCACACCAGUGUCCUUCUAGAAGACAUAUGACCCCGAAGCAGCUUGGCGACAUGUUUUUCCCGGACUCCGGAACCAUAAGUUGCACCUAG
Molecule: long non-coding RNA, 556 nt
Filed under: Dasypus novemcinctus (nine-banded armadillo)
Lineage: Eukaryota; Metazoa; Chordata; Mammalia; Cingulata; Dasypodidae
Description: lncRNA (ENSDNOG00000050972.1)
Source: RNAcentral